RNAcentral lists this ribosomal RNA (625 nucleotides) under uncultured prasinophyte. RNAcentral's name for it is "SSU rRNA". It matches the Rfam family "Bacterial small subunit ribosomal RNA", at positions 8 to 671 of the family's 1533-position model. The record is from RNAcentral. Lineage: Eukaryota; Viridiplantae; Chlorophyta.
AGAGUUUGAUCAUGGCUCAGAAGGAACGCUGGCAGCGUGCAUAACACAUGCAAGUCGAACGGUAGUAUAUCUUCGGAUAUAUGAGAGUGGCGAACGGGUGAGUAACACGUAAGAAUCUACCUUUGGACGGGGAUAACUUCUGAAACGGAUGCUAAUACCCGAUACGCUGUGGAGUGAAAGAAUUUCGCCCAAAGAUGAUCUUGCGUCUGAUUAGCUAGUUGGUAAGGUAAUGGCUUACCAAGGCGACGAUCAGUAGCUGGUCUGAGAGGAUGGACAGCCACAUUGGAACUGAGACACGGUCCAAACUCCUACGGGAGGCAGCAGUGGGGAAUUUUCCGCAAUGGACGAAAGUCUGACGGAGCGACGCUGCGUGAAGGAUGACGGCCUGCGGGUUGUAAACUUCUUUUCUCGAAGAAGAAUAAAUGACGGUAUUCGAGGAAUAAGCAUCGGCUAACUCUGUGCCAGCAGCCGCGGUAAGACAGAGGAUGCAAGUGUUAUUCGGAUUGAUUGGGCGUAAAGCGUCUGUAGGCGGUUUGGAAAGUCUUUUGUGAAAUUCUUCAGCUCAACUGGGGGUCCGCAAAAGAAACUUCUAAGCUUGAGGGAAGUAGAGGUAUAGGGAAUUCCG